GGUAAAGAUGGAAGUCAAGGGCCAUCUGGAUCAGGUGGUGCAAAAGGAGAUAAGGGAUCCAGAGGACCUGUGGGGCAGGAGGGAGUUGCUGGUCUCGAUGGUGAGGAGGUAGAUUGAUUAGCUUGGUCAUGGAUUCAACUGUUUCCAUUUAACAUAAAAUUAAUAAAACCUAAAGUAAGAAAACUAGAGAUGCGUAGAGUACAGAAAGCACAGACAAUACAAGAGAAAGAAAGAAAAUCAAAGAAAAAUGAAAGACCUAGAAGAUCAUAACUGUUAGAGUAACUACAGGAAUAUGAGCCCAUGAAUCAGGACAAACUGAAAGAGCUUUGUUCUUGUCUUUAGGGUCCAACUGGACAGAAAGGAUUUCAAGGGCCAGCCGGCCAAAAGGGCAUAUCUGGUGUUAAAGGAAACACUGGACCUCCUGGGCAGAGAGGCCCAAAGGGGUCUGAGGGUGAAAGAGGAAACCAAGGCUCACAGGGACCGAAGGGGCCACAAGGGACACAGGUAUGUAGGAAGUAAUCCUAAGUAUAGUUUACUGGAAUACUGUAACACAACUGACUUCCAUACAGGGAUAUUAAUUCACAAAGAGCAAAUAUAAGGAAGACUGUGUAUCACCUCUGCCUUGUCUUUACUAUAUGUGCUUUUCCCAGGGAUACAGGGGUGCACCUGGAGAUAGAGGACAACAGGGGCACCCGGGACUCAAGGGUGAGGCAGGCACCAGGGGUUUAUCAGGCACUCCUGGGCCAUUUGGAGCUGGAGGCAAAACUGGGGCAGCAGGAACCAAAGGCCGGAAGGGGCUCCAGGGACUUGCUGGUCCUCCUGGUAAUAUGGGCCCUCCUGGACCAACUGGACCAUCACCAGCUGUACGUUUUACUUUACCUAGCAUUAACUUUCCAUUAUUAUACUUACCAUGUGCUAAAAUGUACACUAAAUGUUUGAUAGUGGUAUCACCUCGAUGUGUUUA
This 964-nucleotide long non-coding RNA is filed under the name Oreochromis niloticus (Nile tilapia). Its description in RNAcentral is "lncRNA (ENSONIG00000042099.1)". The record is from RNAcentral. Lineage: Eukaryota; Metazoa; Chordata; Actinopteri; Cichliformes; Cichlidae.